Molecule: ribosomal RNA, 470 nt
Filed under: uncultured Pelotomaculum sp.
Lineage: Bacteria; Bacillati; Bacillota; Clostridia; Eubacteriales; Desulfotomaculaceae
Description: bacterial SSU rRNA
Rfam family: Bacterial small subunit ribosomal RNA
Source: RNAcentral
GACGGGGCCCGCACAAGCGGUGGAGUAUGUGGUUAAUUCGACGCAACGCGAAGAACCUUACCAGGGCUUGACAUCCCCUGACCGCGUAUGAAAGUACGUUUUCACCUUCGGGUGACAGGGAGACAGGUGGUGCAUGGUUGUCGUCAGCUCGUGUCGUGAGAUGUUGGGUUAAGUCCCGCAACGAGCGCAACCCCUACGUUUAGUUGCUAACGCGUGAAGGCGAGCACUCUAGACGAACUGCCGUUGACAAAACGGAGGAAGGUGGGAUGACGUCAAAUCAUCAUGCCCCUUAUGUUCUGGGCUACACACGUGCUACAAUGGCCGGUACAGACGGACGCAAAGCCGCGAGGUGGAGCAAAUCCUAAAAAGCCGGUCUCAGUUCGGAUUGCAGGCUGCAAUUCGCCUGCAUGAAGUCGGAAUCGCUAGUAAUCGCAGGUCAGCAUACUGCGGUGAAUACGUUCCCGGGCCUU